UACCCAAUUCUCAGUGCACGUUUGCUCGUCGACGCGGAAGGUUGGUUGCGGACAACAUUUUUUUUUUUCAAUAUUUUUUUAAAUGUUUAUUUUUUCAGAACACAGGCUACUAUUAUGUAGCAAACUAUUAAAAAUUAAACUAUGAAACAAUUAUAAUGUUUUUUCACAUUGCCUUCAAAUGAUUAAUCAGCACACUCCAUUGUCGUUGCCCUCACACUUACAGCGAGAGCCCUUCCACUCGCACUUUCACUCGCACCAACCCAUAAUUUUUUCCGACGAGACCUCCUUAUAUAGUUGCUUUAUGCUUACGGCUACAGCUUUUGGAGGGGGUAAAUUAGUUAGACUAAGUGCAUGCUGCACAGAGCAAAAAUUUGAUUUAAAGUUGAAAGACAUAAUUAAUGUGCGCAUAGAGAAUAUAUAAAAAACGUUGUGAAAAUUCUGCAAAUAUAAAAGGGAACAUAGAUCCCAGAAAAACAAUCUGAAAAGUUUGGUGGCUGCAGCGAAACAAAAAAAUAACAAACCCUGGAUAAGGUACGCAAAGAAUUAAUGGAAAAAGUAACCUUAUUACAUAAUCUCAUGUAUAUACAUAUAAAUAGGUUAUGAACCACGUGGGGCAGUAUAACUGCUGACCUGGCCGAUCUGGGCCUGACCAUCGCUCUCGGACGUGGUCCACUCCAACAUCACGAUCAUCAGUCCCAUCAUUUUUUUGCUACAGCGAUCUCCUCAGUCUCUCCUAUCGAAAUCAUUAUAUAUAUAUAUUUUUCAAAGACAAAACUGUAAAUAACUAUACAAAAAAAAAAUUUUUUUAAUUCAAAGCGUUAAANCUAAGUGCAUGCUGCACAGAGCAAAAAUUUGAUUUAAAGUUGAAAGACAUAAUUAAUGUGCGCAUAGAGAAUAUAUAAAAAACGUUGUGAAAAUUCUGCAAAUAUAAAAGGGAACAUAGAUCCCAGAAAAACAAUCUGAAAAGUUUGGUGGCUGCAGCGAAACAAAAAAAUAACAAACCCUGGAUAAGGUACGCAAAGAAUUAAUGGAAAAAGUAACCUUAUUACAUAAUCUCAUGUAUAUACAUAUAAAUAGGUUAUGAACCACGUGGGGCAGUAUAACUGCUGACCUGGCCGAUCUGGGCCUGACCAUCGCUCUCGGACGUGGUCCACUCCAACACCACGAUCAUCAGUCCCUCUUUUUUGUGCCAGCGGACCUUGCCUGCCGGCAGAUACACAGAUGGACUUGGUUAGCGGGACCUAGGCAUACAUAUAUACAUCGACAUACCUACGCGCAGUUCAACAACAACAAUAUAAAACAAGAUAAAACAAGCCUUGCUUCUAGGGAAAAUGUUGGUGCUUGCAUAAUUUGUUGAAAAAAAAUUCGUUCAGCGAUCAGUGCCCAUGCGGUUGACCAUACACCUAAGCGCACCUAAAUAGACCCACUUGGCCGUAUGUCACCCAUUCGUACCUACUCUCAGUUUUAUUAACAUAGUUGAUACCCGAUAUAAUAUGUAAAUUCUAAGGCAACUUAAGGAGAGGGAAAAAUCACAAAAAGUUAGAAAAAGAAAAUUUAAUUAAAAAUCAUGAAUAGGAAAAAAAAAAUUUUUAAUUUGUAUCAUUUUAAAUAUACUUAGACAUGAACCUUAGAAAAUAAGAAGAAGAAAAAAAGUGUAAUAUAUGCAUAGUUAAUAAUAGAUUCUAAGAGGUAUCAUCGGUCUCAUUGUGUCCAUGGAAGGGUAUUAGUAAAAUACCGCUCCAUAACGCUUCUUGUUUUCUCUGGCAACAUUCUACAUCUCUUUAACAGUUUCAUGCCAAUUUCAUGCGUGAAAUUGGGCCCAACGACACCUGCAGCUAAUUAAACGUCUGUAAGUAGACACACAUAUAUACAAAUACAUUCCGGUUCAGGAGAAUAGCAUCUAACGCAGUGAGACGAGCAUGUUUAACCAUAUUUAAAAUAAUAAACUACAAUCACUACAAUUAUGCCAUUUAAUUCAUUUAGAUAAUUCAUUACUACAUUUUAUUUUGAUUAUAUUAUUUUUAUUUAUACUUUGAUCAUUAUCUUGAAUUCAUAUGUCUUAAAUUAGUCCACCUAUAUAUACAUGCAGUAAGAAUAAGUUGAAGGGUUAGGGUUGAAAUAAUGGGGGUUAUAAAUAAAAAAUGAUGUCAUACAAGUUAAAGUAAAAACUAUAACGCUACGAGAAGGGACGUGUGAGACGCUUUUUACGCGUCACAACUUUUAUAACCGGCACUCAGGACUACAUCUAGAUGUAGAAGACAUCGCCAACCACUAGAUAUCGUUCACAUUACAGAACACGUAGUAAAAGCCUACUAAAUAAAAUGCAUCAAAC
RNAcentral lists this long non-coding RNA (2332 nucleotides) under Drosophila guanche. Lineage: Eukaryota; Metazoa; Arthropoda; Insecta; Diptera; Drosophilidae. The record is from RNAcentral.